GACGAACGCUGGCGGCGUGCUUAACACAUGCAAGUCGAACGGUAAGGCCUUUCGGGGUACACGAGUGGCGAACGGGUGAGUAACACGUGGGUGACCUGCCCUGCACUUCGGGAUAAGCCCGGGAAACUGGGUCUAAUACCGGAUAGGACUGCGCGGUGCAUGCCGUGUGGUGGAAAGAUUUAUCGGUGCAGGAUGGGCCCGCGGCCUAUCAGCUUGUUGGUGGGGUAAUGGCCUACCAAGGCGACGACGGGUAGCCGGCCUGAGAGGGCGACCGGCCACACUGGGACUGAGACACGGCCCAGACUCCUACGGGAGGCAGCAGUGGGGAAUAUUGCACAAUGGGCGCAAGCCUGAUGCAGCGACGCCGCGUGAGGGAUGACGGCCUUCGGGUUGUAAACCUCUUUCAGCAGGGACGAAGCGUGAGUGACGGUACCUGCAGAAGAAGCACCGGCCAACUACGUG
Molecule: ribosomal RNA, 462 nt
Filed under: uncultured bacterium
Lineage: Bacteria
Description: partial 16S ribosomal RNA
Rfam family: Bacterial small subunit ribosomal RNA
Source: RNAcentral